This 331-nucleotide ribosomal RNA is filed under the name uncultured bacterium. RNAcentral's name for it is "bacterial SSU rRNA". It matches the Rfam family "Bacterial small subunit ribosomal RNA", at positions 568 to 898 of the family's 1533-position model. The record is from RNAcentral.
CGUGUAGGCGGAUGGGGACGUCGGUUGCUGAAAGCCCCCGGCUCAACCGGGGAACGGGCGCCGAAACGCCCCGUCUGGAGGGACGUAGGGGGACCUGGAACUUCCGGUGGAGCGGUGAAAUGCGUUGAGAUCGGAAGGAACGCCCGUGGCGAAAGCGAGGUCCUGGACGUUUACUGACGCUGAGACGCGAAAGCUAGGGGAGCGAACGGGAUUAGAUACCCCGGUAGUCCUAGCCCUAAACCAUCAGGACUUGGGGUUUGCCCUGUACGGGGCAAGUCCCGGAGCUAACGCGUUAAGUCCUGCGCCUGGGGAGUACGGUCGCAAGGCUGAA